Molecule: ribosomal RNA, 519 nt
Filed under: uncultured eukaryote
Lineage: Eukaryota
Description: SSU rRNA
Rfam family: Eukaryotic small subunit ribosomal RNA
Source: RNAcentral
AGGGCACCACCAGGAGUGGAGCCUGCGGCUUAAUUUGACUCAACACGGGAAAACUCACCCGGCCCGGACACUGGAAGGAUUGACAGAUUGAGAGCUCUUUCUUGAUUCAGUGGGUGGUGGUGCAUGGCCGUUCUUAGUUGGUGGAGUGAUUUGUCUGGUUAAUUCCGAUAACGAACGAGACUCUAGCCUAUUAAAUAGAUCGUUGGCUUACAAACGCCGGCGAGACUUCUUAGAGGGACAGGCGGCGAUUCAGCCGCACGAAACAGAGCAAUAACAGGUCUGUGAUGCCCUUAGAUGUCCGGGGCCGCACGCGCGCUACACUGAAGUGAUCAGCGUGCAUUUUGAAACCUACUCUGUCAAGAGUGGGGAACCCAAUGAACCUUCUUCAUGAUUGGGAUAGGGGAUUGUAAUUAUUCCCCUUGAACGAGGAAUUCCCAGUAAGCGCGAAUCAUAAGUUUGCGCUGAUUACGUCCCUGCCCUUUGUACACACCGCCCGUCGCUACUACCGAUUGAAUGUUU